Molecule: long non-coding RNA, 854 nt
Organism: Podarcis raffonei (Aeolian wall lizard)
Lineage: Eukaryota; Metazoa; Chordata; Lepidosauria; Squamata; Lacertidae
Exons: 5
Source: RefSeq, a predicted model, not a curated record
CUAAUUACCAUCAGCUGAUGGACAGAGAGUUCAACAUUGCUGGAUUGGCUAGGCAACAGUCACAAUCAACAGAACAAUGAUAUUCUUCUUGGAUCUUCAAGUGUCCCUGUGCAACAAUAUGUUUCCUGUUGACAUAUGCAUUCAUCUUGUUUCAUUGGUCAUAACAUAAAACUCACAAGGGCUAAAGAGUGAAGAUGAGCUCAACUAACAGUUGACAAGGAGGCACAAGGGAUCAUGAGUCAUAUCUGAGGAAUGAACAUGACUGGCAUUUUUGAGUCAAAGGGUUACUCCUCUGACCUACUUCCAACAGGAUCAACAGCUGCAGGCUGGCUAUGGAAUGCGCAGAUAAAACACCGCUAGACAGUUAUAUGCAGGAGUCAUCACUAAGAUUAAAAUUCUUGUUCAAAGCAGAUCUACGCAAAAUUGACUCCCUUUGCCUUCAUCCUUCAGACAGCUAAGAUGCAACGCACACCUUUCAUACCAAACUGGCUGUGGCGGUACAAGAGGCAAAGCUGUAAUCACAUAGACACUUCCAAGAAGACAUGGCUGGUGCUCUGCAAACAUGCCCUUAGAAAAGUACAAAUGGGGAUGCCAAUUCUGAAUGAUUUAAAAUUGUAGAAACAAACACCAUGUGACCCACAGUAUACAUCUAGGUUCCCCAGCUACUGAAGUGUUUUUACAACCUACUUUCCAAUGUUGCUGCUUUCCCUGUAUGCCUCUGCACGGUAGACAUAGCUGAAGGGCAAAUACGCUAUGUUUUUCAAAAGGCUUAUUUUAUAAUUAAAGACUCAAGUGCUUCGUGUGGAACAUGAAUAAUGUAUCUUAUAAAUCUUCUUUGAUAUAUGUAUACACAA